AAGUCGUAACAAGGUUUCCGUAGGUGAACCUGCGGAAGGAUCAUUAACACAAUUUUACUGUGAUAAAUCCAUUGAGUUAUAGAGUUCUCACUCUUGAUUCAAUGGUAUCCACCCCAUUAUUGACGAACUUUUAAGAUGUUAAAACUAAAAACGUAGAGCUAGUCUUUCUAUUUUUAACAUUCUAAACCUUUUCUAUACCCACACAUUUAAACACCUUUUACAACAUGUCUUAGACUGAAAUGAAAAUUUUCUAUCAAAAAAUUGAUAAAAACAACUUUUAACAACGGAUAUCUUGGCUCUC
RNAcentral lists this unclassified non-coding RNA (301 nucleotides) under fungal sp. RNAcentral describes it as "partial internal transcribed spacer region". The stretch from base 1 to 46 matches the Rfam family "Eukaryotic small subunit ribosomal RNA", at positions 1786 to 1831 of the family's 1831-position model. The record is from RNAcentral. Lineage: Eukaryota; Fungi.